This 554-nucleotide ribosomal RNA is filed under the name Phragmocephala garethjonesii. Its description in RNAcentral is "eukaryotic LSU rRNA". The stretch from base 188 to 341 matches the Rfam family "5.8S ribosomal RNA". The record is from RNAcentral. Lineage: Eukaryota; Fungi; Ascomycota; Dothideomycetes; Pleosporales; Melanommataceae.
GGAAGUAAAAAAACAAGGUUUCCGUAGGUGAACCUGCGGAAGGAUCAUUACCGUGGGGACUCGUCCCCAUUGAGAUAGCACCCUUUGUUUAUGAGUACCGUUUGUUUCCUCGGUGGGCUUGCCCGCCGCUAGGACCCCCUAAAAACCUUUGUAGUAGCAGUAACUUCAGUUAAACAUAAAAUAUUAAAACUUUCAACAACGGAUCUCUUGGUUCUGGCAUCGAUGAAGAACGCAGCGAAAUGCGAUAAGUAGUGUGAAUUGCAGAAUUCAGUGAAUCAUCGAAUCUUUGAACGCACAUUGCGCCCUUCGGUAUUCCGUUGGGCAUGCCUGUUCGAGCGUCAUUUAAACCUUCAAGCUCUGCUUGGUGUUGGGUGUUUGUUCCGUCUUUGUGCGUGGACUCGCCUCAAAUUUAUUGGCAGCCGGCAAGUUGGCUUCGUGCGCAGCACAUUGCGUUGCGGCUCCAGCCUGCCUCCUCCCAGCAAGCUAUUCUAUCACUUUGACCUCGGAUCAGGUAGGGAUACCCGCUGAACUUAAGCAUAUCAAUAAGCGGAGGA